GCCUAUAAUCACCCAGCCCUAGAUUAGGUUCUGUUCACCUGUCUGGCCCAGCCUAUAAUCACCCAGCCCUAGAUUAGGUUCUGUUCACCUGUCUGGCCCAGCCUAUAAUCACCCAGCCCUAGAUUAGGUUCUGUUCGGUUCUGUUCACCUGUCUGGCCCAGCCUAUAAUCACCCAGAUUAGGUUAUGUUCGCCUGUCUGGCCCAGCCUAUAUCACCCAGAUUAGAUUAGGUUCUGUUCACCUGUCUGGCCCAGCCUAUAAUCACCCAGAUUAGAUUAGGUUCUGUUCACCUGUCUGGCCCAGCCUAUAAUCACCCAGAUUAGAUUAGGUUCUGUUCACCUGUCUGGCCCAGCCUAUAAUCACCCAGAUUAGAUUAGGUUCUGUUCACCUGUCUGGCCCAGCCUAUAAUCACCCAGAU
This 417-nucleotide long non-coding RNA is filed under the name Salmo salar (Atlantic salmon). Its description in RNAcentral is "lncRNA (ENSSSAG00000105358.1)". Lineage: Eukaryota; Metazoa; Chordata; Actinopteri; Salmoniformes; Salmonidae. The record is from RNAcentral.